Molecule: transfer RNA, 75 nt
Filed under: Acidilutibacter cellobiosedens
Lineage: Bacteria; Bacillati; Bacillota; Tissierellia; Tissierellales; Acidilutibacteraceae
Description: Tissierellia sp. JN-28 tRNA-Glu
Rfam family: tRNA
About the family: Transfer RNA (tRNA) molecules are approximately 80 nucleotides in length. Their secondary structure includes four short double-helical elements and three loops (D, anti-codon, and T loops).
Source: RNAcentral
GGCCCUAUGGUCAAGCGGUUAAGACAUCGCCCUUUCACGGCGGUAACUCGGGUUCGAAUCCCGGUAGGGUCACCA